AUUGAACGCUGGCGGCAGGCCUAACACAUGCAAGUCGAGCGGAGCGGCGGACGGGCGAGUAAUGCCUAGGAAUCUGCCUGGUAGUGGGGGAUAAAGUCCGGAAACGGGCGCUAACACCGAACACAAUCAGAUAAGUCUAGGUCGGAUUAGCUAGUUGGUGGGGUAAGGGCCUACAAAGGCGACGAUCCGUAACUGGUCUGUGAGGAUGAUCAGUCACACGGGAACUGAGACACGGUCCAGACUCCUACGGGAGGCAGCAGUGGGGAAUAUUGGACAAUGGGCGAAAGCCUGAUCCAGCCAUGCCGCGUGUGUGAAGAAGGUCUUCGGAUUGUAAAGCACUUUAAGUUGGGAGGCGUUACCAGCAGAAUAAGCACCGGCUAACUUCGUGCCAGCAGCCGCGGUAAUAC
RNAcentral lists this ribosomal RNA (407 nucleotides) under uncultured bacterium. Its description in RNAcentral is "partial 16S ribosomal RNA". It matches the Rfam family "Bacterial small subunit ribosomal RNA", at positions 30 to 526 of the family's 1533-position model. The record is from RNAcentral.